CCCUUAGAUGUUCUGGGCCGCACGCGUGCUACACUGAGUAAUUCAAUGGGUAAGGGAACGCUAGAGCAUUACCUAAUCUUGAAAUUUGCUCGUGAUGGGGAUCGACGGUUGCAAUUUUCCGUCGUGAACGAGGAAUACCUUGUAGGCGCAUGUCAUCAUCAUGCGCCGAAUACGUCCCUGCCCUUUGUACACACCGCUCGUCGCUCCUACCGAUUGAGUGAUCCGGUGUGGCUCUGGGACCUGGACGGAAAGAGCGUUUCGCUUGUUCUGUUUGGGAAACUUGGUCGAACCUUAUCAUUUAGAGGAAGGAGAAGUCGUAACA
This 322-nucleotide ribosomal RNA is filed under the name uncultured eukaryote. RNAcentral describes it as "partial 18S ribosomal RNA". It matches the Rfam family "Eukaryotic small subunit ribosomal RNA", at positions 1470 to 1796 of the family's 1831-position model. The record is from RNAcentral.